Non-coding RNA from Coffea arabica (coffee), 919 nucleotides. Lineage: Eukaryota; Viridiplantae; Streptophyta; Magnoliopsida; Gentianales; Rubiaceae. The record is from RefSeq and is a predicted model, not a curated record.
AUGAAGACUAUCACAUAUUGUGAUAAAUUUUGUGAAAAAUAAGAUUUGAAUCCUUAGCUUUCUACGCUGCCAAGCUUAAAAAGGCUUGGUGGUGCCAAGCUUAAAAAGGCUUGGAAUAGCCACCGGACCAAAGGCUCAAUGGCUAAUUAGGCGCACUCAGUGGAAGGAAUUAUAAGUUGUAAUGGGAUAUUUUAGAAUUUUGAAAGAUGAGAUGUGUACCAAAGAAAAAGCCUAAUCAUUUUUUUUUUUGGAAAAAAAAAAUCUAAAUGGAAAGUUCCUGGUGAUGGCCGAAAGUAUCUUAUCUUGCUGAAAACCAAGACAGCACAGCUACAAGGAUGUAAACAUGUGUAAUUACACUAAGAACGACAAACCAGUAAUUCCUUGAACCAAUAUUCCGCUAAGUCAGUGCUUAAUAUCUUAGUCACUUUCAUGUGAAUGGUGACGCCCAUUCCAUUCAAGUUGCAACAUGGCUAGUUAUUAGAGGUCAUAAAUCGGGAUCUGGCAUCGUGCAAACAAGAGUUACUGCAAACUUUUCAAAGUUAAUCGAGCAUUCGAACGAGGGGAAAAAAGGUUAAUCGAGCAUUCGAGCUUUUUAGCUUCCCAAUCAGCACUUGUAAUUGCUAAGAGUCUCUCAAAUCCUUGGAACUGUUGAGGUGUCGAGCAGGGUAACGGUGAGCAAUACUGGGUUUCGUGGGGGGUCAUCACUUCUUAGUACCAGCGGGCCUACUGACUUGUCCUUUUGGGGUUGUCAUCCCACAUCGGUUCUUGGGGGGGGGUUUGGGGUUGGGUUUAUAAGUCCCUGGAAGGACCUCAAAAGUUGCCGGCUUUUGAGGUUUCUUCUGGGAUUAGAUUUAUAAUUCUAACUUCCGUCAAAAAAAAAAAAAAAGAGCAAUAAUAUAUCAUUGUUACUUUAAAUUCA